Molecule: long non-coding RNA, 674 nt
Organism: Cydia amplana
Lineage: Eukaryota; Metazoa; Arthropoda; Insecta; Lepidoptera; Tortricidae
Exons: 3
Source: RefSeq, a predicted model, not a curated record
CUUAUUUAUUUAGGGUUCCGUACCCAAAGGAUAAAACGGGACCCUAUUACUAAGACUCCGCUGUUCGUCCGUCCGUCUGUCACCAGGCUGUAUCUCACGAACCGUGAUAGCUAGAUAGUUGAAAUUUUCACAGAUGAUGUAUUUCUGUUGCCGCUAUAACAACAAAUACUAAAAAGUACGGAACCCUCGGUGGGUGAGUCCGACUCGCGCGUGUCCGGUUUUUUGUAACUUCGUAUUAAAGUGAAACAGAAAUUAACAACAACUGACGUUUGGUUUUCAGAUACGGGAUCAUGUCAAUUACGUGGACGAGUCGUAUGGUGGGACAACCUACGACGCCUUUAUAUGGAGCAACAGCGUUAGUCGAGACUACUUCGAGCCGCUGGCAUGUGUGCCCAUCAGCGAAAUAGUGUACAUUAGGUUAAUAUGGGAACAUAUCAACUACAUCAUUAACAUGGACGCGUCGUACGGCAGGGCAACCCACGACGCCUUCAUAUGGAGCAACAGCAUUAGUCAAGACUACUUCGAGCAGCGGGCAUGUGGUACCAGCGAAAUAGCGUACAUUAGAAGACUCCGGGUAUCCACUGCGGGAACACGGAACACCUUAUGAUUUCUGCAACCGGCGCCGCAGAAGACUCCCCGAGGCUAUAACGCCAUGCAAAAGAUGGCGCGCUGCA